AAAUGAUGGUAUGGGCACCUUUGUAUCAGCAUUUUAAAAUGCUCCCAGGCUUCGUGAAAGAUUUCUCCUUCUAGCUGUUUAAAUGUGGCAAUCUCUCUCCUCAAUUG
Small nucleolar RNA from Gossypium raimondii (Peruvian cotton), 107 nucleotides. It matches the Rfam family "Plant small nucleolar RNA R71". From Rfam's summary of the family: R71 is a member of the C/D box family of snoRNAs containing the C (UGAUGA) and D (CUGA) box motifs. Multiple nearly identical copies of this snoRNA have been identified in Arabidopsis, and it is thought to function as a 2'-O-ribose methylation guide for 18S ribosomal RNA. The record is from Rfam. NCBI's taxonomy places the organism in Eukaryota, Viridiplantae, Streptophyta, Magnoliopsida, Malvales, Malvaceae.